This 76-nucleotide transfer RNA is filed under the name Candidatus Marinamargulisbacteria bacterium SCGC AAA071-K20. RNAcentral's name for it is "tRNA-Val". It matches the Rfam family "tRNA". From Rfam's summary of the family: Transfer RNA (tRNA) molecules are approximately 80 nucleotides in length. Their secondary structure includes four short double-helical elements and three loops (D, anti-codon, and T loops). Further hydrogen bonds mediate the characteristic L-shaped molecular structure. tRNAs have two regions of fundamental functional importance: the anti-codon, which is responsible for specific mRNA codon recognition, and the 3' end, to which the tRNAs corresponding amino acid is attached (by aminoacyl-tRNA synthetases). tRNAs cope with the degeneracy of the genetic code in two manners: having more than one tRNA (with a specific anti-codon) for a particular amino acid; and 'wobble' base-pairing, i.e. permitting non-standard base-pairing at the 3rd anti-codon position. Lineage: Bacteria; Bacillati; Candidatus Margulisiibacteriota; Candidatus Marinamargulisbacteria. The record is from RNAcentral.
GGGCGGUUAGCUCAGUUGGUAGAGCACUAGCUCGACAUGCUAGUGGCCACAAGUUCGAACCUUGUACCGCCCACCA